RNAcentral lists this ribosomal RNA (407 nucleotides) under uncultured bacterium. RNAcentral describes it as "partial 16S ribosomal RNA". It matches the Rfam family "Bacterial small subunit ribosomal RNA", at positions 30 to 526 of the family's 1533-position model. The record is from RNAcentral.
AUUGAACGCUGGCGGCAUGCCUAAUACAUGCAAGUCGAGCGGAGCUGCGGACGGGUGAGUAAUGACUAGUAAGAUGCAUGGUAGUGGGGGAUAACGUCCGGAAACGGGAGCUUAUACCGCAUACUAUCAGAGCAGUUUCGGUGGGAUUAGCUAGUAGUGGGGGUAAUGGCCUACCAAGGCGACGAUCCGACACUGGUCUGAGAGGAUGAUCAGUCACACUGGAACUGAGACACGGUCCAGACUCCUACGGGAGGCAGCAGUGGGGAAUAUUGGACAAUGGGCGAAAGCCUGACCCAGCCAUGCCGCGUGUGUGAAGAAGGUCUUCGGAUUGUAAAGCACUUUAAGUUGGGAGGCGUUACCAACAGAAUAAGCACCGGCUAACUUCGUGCCAGCAGCCGCGGUAAUAC